This 592-nucleotide ribosomal RNA is filed under the name Calosoma auropunctatum. RNAcentral's name for it is "SSU rRNA". It matches the Rfam family "Eukaryotic small subunit ribosomal RNA", at positions 13 to 575 of the family's 1831-position model. The record is from RNAcentral. RNAcentral also lists the same sequence under 1 other name. Lineage: Eukaryota; Metazoa; Arthropoda; Insecta; Coleoptera; Carabidae.
CCUGCCAGUAGUCAUAUGCUUGUCUCAAAGAUUAAGCCAUGCAUGUCUCAGUACAAGCCAAAUUAAGGUGAAACCGCGAAAGGCUCAUUAAAUCAGUUAUGGUUCCUUAGAUCGUACCCACAUUUACUUGGAUAACUGUGGUAAUUCUAGAGCUAAUACAUGCAAACAGAGCUCCGACCGGAGACGGAAGGAGUGCUUUUAUUAGAUCAAAACCAAUCGGCGGCGUGUUCGCUUGCGUUCACGUUCGCCGCCCAACUUGGUGACUCUGAAUAACUUUAUGCUGAUCGCACGGUCUUGCACCGGCGACGCAUCUUUCAAAUGUCUGCCUUAUCAACUGUCGAUGGUAGGUUCUGCGCCUACCAUGGUUGUAACGGGUAACGGGGAAUCAGGGUUCGAUUCCGGAGAGGGAGCCUGAGAAACGGCUACCACAUCCAAGGAAGGCAGCAGGCGCGCAAAUUACCCACUCCCGGCACGGGGAGGUAGUGACGAAAAAUAACGAUACGGGACUCAUCCGAGGCCCCGUAAUCGGAAUGAGUACACUUUAAAUCCUUUAACGAGGAUCAAUUGGAGGGCAAGUCUGGUGCCAGCAGCC